GUGAACGCUGGCGGUAGGCCUAACACAUGCAAGUCGAACGGCAGCACAGUAAGAGCUUGCUCUUACGGGUGGCGAGUGGCGGACGGGUGAGGAAUACAUCGGAAUCUACUUUUUCGUGGGGGAUAACGUAGGGAAACUUACGCUAAUACCGCACACGACCUACGGGUGAAAGCAGGGGAUCUUCGGACCUUGCGCGAUUGAAUGAGCCGAUGUCGGAUUAGCUAGUUGGCGGGGUAAAGGCCCACCAAGGCGACGAUCCGUAGCUGGUCUGAGAGGAUGAUCAGCCACACUGGAACUGAGACACGGUCCAGACUCCUACGGGAGGCAGCAGUGGGGAAUAUUGGACAAUGGGCGCAAGCCUGAUCCAGCCAUACCGCGUGGGUGAAGAAGGCCUUCGGGUUGUAAAGCCCUUUUGUUGGGAAAGAAAAGCAGCUGGUUAAUACCCCGCUGUUCUGACGGUACCCAAAGAAUAAGCACCGGCUAACUUCGUG
This 491-nucleotide ribosomal RNA is filed under the name uncultured bacterium. Its description in RNAcentral is "partial 16S ribosomal RNA". It matches the Rfam family "Bacterial small subunit ribosomal RNA", at positions 29 to 507 of the family's 1533-position model. The record is from RNAcentral.